UACGUAGGGUGCAAGCGUUGCCCGGAAUUAUUGGGCGUAAAGAGCUCGUAGGCGGCUCGUCACGUCGGCUGUGAAAACCCGGGGCUCAACCCCGGGCCUGCAGUCGAUACGGGCGAGCUAGAGUUCGGCAGGGGAGACUGGAAUUCCUGGUGUAGCGGUGAAAUGCGCAGAUAUCAGGAGGAACACCGGUGGCGAAGGCGGGUCUCUGGGCCGAUACUGACGCUGAGGAGCGAAAGCGUGGGGAGCGAACAGG
Molecule: ribosomal RNA, 253 nt
Filed under: uncultured bacterium
Lineage: Bacteria
Description: partial 16S ribosomal RNA
Rfam family: Bacterial small subunit ribosomal RNA
Source: RNAcentral